Otolemur garnettii (small-eared galago) is the source of this 264-nucleotide unclassified non-coding RNA. Its record names the gene 7SK. It matches the Rfam family "7SK RNA". Rfam says of the family: 7SK was discovered as an abundant small nuclear RNA in the mid-70s but a possible function has only recently been suggested. Two independent studies have found that 7SK RNA binds the CDK9/cyclin T complex (known as elongation factor P-TEFb). The record is from Ensembl. NCBI's taxonomy places the organism in Eukaryota, Metazoa, Chordata, Mammalia, Primates, Galagidae.
GUAUGUGGCUGGCACCAUAACCACUGUGCUACGGGCACCAAGCCUACAUGCACAAAUUCUUAUACUCUUUAAGAGGUGGGCUGUGCGCUCAAAGAGGAGGACCUUCCCUGACAGACGAGGACCUUUCUUCAGUCAAGGGUAUACGAGUAAUACUGUGUUCCCCCUGCUACAACCUCCAAAUAAGCUCUCAAGAGCUGGAACCUAAUUAGUAGCUCACAUCUGACUAAAAAAUCAGGAAUGACAGUAGGUGAUUCAGAAGUCACU